UACGUAGGGGGCAAGCGUUGUCCGGAAUUAUUGGGCGUAAAGAGCGCGUAGGCGGUCCGGUAAGUCGGCUGUGAAAGUCAAGGGCUCAACCCUGGAAGGCCGGUGGAAACUGUCGGGCUAGAGUCCGGAAGAGGCGAGUGGAAUUCCCGGUGUAGCGGUGAAAUGCGCAGAUAUCGGGAGGAACACCAAUGGCGAAGGCAGCUCGCUGGGACGGUACUGACGCUGAGACGCGAAAGCGUGGGGAGCAAACAGG
RNAcentral lists this ribosomal RNA (253 nucleotides) under uncultured bacterium. RNAcentral describes it as "partial 16S ribosomal RNA". It matches the Rfam family "Bacterial small subunit ribosomal RNA", at positions 524 to 776 of the family's 1533-position model. The record is from RNAcentral.